RNAcentral lists this RNase P RNA (439 nucleotides) under Corynebacterium bovis. RNAcentral's name for it is "RNase P RNA component class A". It matches the Rfam family "Bacterial RNase P class A". From Rfam's summary of the family: Ribonuclease P (RNase P) is a ubiquitous endoribonuclease, found in archaea, bacteria and eukarya as well as chloroplasts and mitochondria. Its best characterised activity is the generation of mature 5'-ends of tRNAs by cleaving the 5'-leader elements of precursor-tRNAs. The record is from RNAcentral. Lineage: Bacteria; Bacillati; Actinomycetota; Actinomycetes; Mycobacteriales; Corynebacteriaceae. RNAcentral also lists the same sequence under 1 other name.
CGAGAGGGCCGGGUGAUCGCGGCCGCCGGAACCGGUCCCGCACGGGACGAGGCCGGGGGUCGAGGAAAGUCCGGACUCCACAGGGCACGGUGGUUGCUAACGGCAACCCGGGGCGACCCGCGGGACAGUGCCACAGAAAACAGACCGCCCGGGACCGGUUCGUCCGGCCACCGGGUAAGGGUGAAAAGGUGCGGUAAGAGCGCACCAGUGCGCCGGGUGACCGGUGCAGCUGGGUAAACCCCACCGGGAGCAAGGUCAAGUGCGGACACCGGGCGUCGCAGACGCCGGGUGCCCGCGUGUCCCGUCGGCUGCCCGUCGGUGAAGGGACAGGUGGACCGCUCGAGGCGCCCAGCGAUGGUGCGUCCAGAUGGAUGAUCACCCCCCGCCCGGCCCCGCGCCGGGUGGCGGACAGAAUCCGGCUCACAGGCCCUCUCGACAC